CCCCGUGGAACAGAGGGCUAAGGCACCUUCACGUGGAACCAUGCUCAACUGGAAUGUCACAGAUUUGCCUCUGGGGCCAAGCUGAGCUGCAGCAGAGCAUGGAGAAGACAGGUUUCAGAUCUCAAACAAUGAACAAUGCUUGAUAGUCAUCGACCUGAUUUCAAAAAUGGAGUAACUGUGAUGCAAUGAGAUGAAGAAACUCACUCGAUACCAUUGAAUCAAUUGAUGUCCAUGCAAGGAUUAGACACAUUUCCUCAUUCUUGGUGCCAUUUGUAACUUACCACAAAAGAACACUAAACCCACUUCUUAUGGCCAUUCUCCAUGCUUCAACAGACCAUGGCAUCAAAGGACUAAGCAAUACAUCUUCACUUCUCUCAGUUUGUUUUCUUUAAAGAAUGACUGUUAUGAGAGAAAAGAGGGCUUCAGCAGCUGCAGGAAAGAGCCCUCACUGUGCAUUCUUUCACCCGUACUUCCUCUCACAUUCUGCCUUUCUGUUCCCUCACUGCCCUCCUGAAGAACCCUGAGUCCAACCAAGUGUUAAUGCCUGCAGUGACAUUGCUAUGGAUCAGAUUCUGAUCACUUUCAUCAUUAAACCCUUUUGUUAGUGUGAACCAGCA
Non-coding RNA from Agelaius phoeniceus (red-winged blackbird), 617 nucleotides. The record is from RefSeq and is a predicted model, not a curated record. NCBI's taxonomy places the organism in Eukaryota, Metazoa, Chordata, Aves, Passeriformes, Icteridae.